GCCGAGGUGGCGGAACCGGUAGACGCGAGGGACUUAAAAUCCCUUGGGUGUUUAGCCCGUGCGGGUUCGAGUCCCGCCCUCGGCA
RNAcentral lists this transfer RNA (85 nucleotides) under Dehalococcoidia bacterium. RNAcentral describes it as "tRNA-Leu". It matches the Rfam family "tRNA". From Rfam's summary of the family: Transfer RNA (tRNA) molecules are approximately 80 nucleotides in length. The record is from RNAcentral. Lineage: Bacteria; Bacillati; Chloroflexota; Dehalococcoidia.